GCCAUCUCCUAUCUGGUUGAUCCUGCCAGUAGUCAUACGCUCGUCUCAAAGAUUAAUCCAUGCAUGUGUAAGUAUAAAUAGUUAACUUUGAAACUUAGAAUGUCUCAUUAUAUCAGUUAUAGUUUAUUAGAUGAAGAAUAAUAAUUGGAUAACCGUAGUAAUUAUAGAUCUAAUACAUGUAUAAAGUGUUGUAGUUUGCAUUUAAUAGAAUGACAACCAUAGGUUUCGGGAUAUUCAGGAGUAAUAAUAACUAAUCAUAUCGUAUGCUUAUGUAGCGAUGUUUCUAUUAAUUUUCUCCCCUAUCAUCUUUGGAUGGUAGUGUACUGCCCUCGCAUGGCAGUGUCGGGUAGAAAAGAGUUUGGGUUCCAUUGGGGAGAGGGAGCGAGAGAGAUGCCCCUCACACGCAAGGAACACAGCAGCCAAGUAAACCAUCCUAUCCCCGCGCAGGGAGGUAGUGACAAUAAAUCACAAUGCGCCUCAAGGUUUUGCAAUUGGAAUGAGAACAACGUACAACCCUUAUCGAUAAACCAUUGGAGGGCAAGUCUGGUGCCAGCAGCCGCGGUAAUCCAGCUCCAAAAGCA
RNAcentral lists this ribosomal RNA (581 nucleotides) under Blastocystis hominis. RNAcentral's name for it is "SSU rRNA". It matches the Rfam family "Eukaryotic small subunit ribosomal RNA", at positions 1 to 599 of the family's 1831-position model. Lineage: Eukaryota; Bigyra; Opalinata; Blastocystidae. The record is from RNAcentral.